Molecule: ribosomal RNA, 528 nt
Filed under: Hanseniaspora thailandica (nom. inval.)
Lineage: Eukaryota; Fungi; Ascomycota; Saccharomycetes; Saccharomycodales; Saccharomycodaceae
Description: eukaryotic LSU rRNA
Rfam family: Eukaryotic large subunit ribosomal RNA
Source: RNAcentral
UUUGAAAUCUGGUACUUUCAGUGCCCGAGUUGUAAUUUGUAGAAUUUGUCUUUGAUUAGGUCCUUGUCUAUGUUCCUUGGAACAGGACGUCAUAGAGGGUGAGAAUCCCGUUUGGCGAGGAUACCUUUUCUCUGUAAGACUUUUUCGAAGAGUCGAGUUGUUUGGGAAUGCAGCUCAAAGUGGGUGGUAAAUUCCAUCUAAAGCUAAAUAUUGGCGAGAGACCGAUAGCGAACAAGUACAGUGAUGGAAAGAUGAAAAGAACUUUGAAAAGAGAGUGAAAAAGUACGUGAAAUUGUUGAAAGGGAAGGGCAUUUGAUCAGACAUGGUGUUUUUUUAAUGUGCAAGUCUCUCGUGGACAUGUGCCUCUGGAAAUUAACACUGGGCCAACAUCAGUUCUGGCGGCAGGAUAAAUCAUUAAGAAUGUAGCUACCUCGGUAGUGUUAUAGCUUUUUGGAAUACUGCCAGCUGGGAUUGAGGACUGCGCUUCGGCAAGGAUGUUGGCAUAAUGGUUAAAUGCCGCCCGUCUUG